This 329-nucleotide unclassified non-coding RNA is filed under the name soil metagenome. RNAcentral's name for it is "partial contains 5.8S ribosomal RNA, internal transcribed spacer 2, and large subunit ribosomal RNA". The stretch from base 1 to 120 matches the Rfam family "5.8S ribosomal RNA", at positions 35 to 154 of the family's 154-position model. The record is from RNAcentral.
GAUGAAGAACGCAGCGAAAUGCGAUAAGUAGUGUGAAUUGCAGAAUUCAGUGAAUCAUCGAAUCUUUGAACGCACAUUGCGCCCCUUGGUAUCCCGAGGGGCAUGCCUGUUCGAGCGUCAUUUCACCACUCAAGCCUGGCUUGGUGUUGGGCGACGUCCCCUUUGGCGACGCGCCUCGAAACGCUCGGCGGCGUGGCACCGGCUUUAAGCGUAGCAGAAUCUUUCGCUUUGGAAGUCGGGGCCCCGUCUGCCGGAAGACCUACUCGCAAGGUUGACCUCGGAUCAGGCAGGGAUACCCGCUGAACUUAAGCAUAUCAAUAAGCGGAGGA